This is an RNA transcript of Lycium barbarum (goji berry), 2313 nucleotides long. It is a transcript of the gene named sorting nexin 2B-like, with no coding region annotated. The record is from RefSeq and is a predicted model, not a curated record. Lineage: Eukaryota; Viridiplantae; Streptophyta; Magnoliopsida; Solanales; Solanaceae. The transcript has 7 exons.
GAAAAGCUAGAUUCUAGCCUCGAGUUUCACAAUUUUAGUAACAGCACUUGAAGAGGAUAGUAGAAGAUGAUGGGCGGUAAAGAGAGCAUGGAGACUGUAUCCCUUGAGGAUGAUGAAGAGUUGACCUCGAAAUCCCACUCUAAUUACCGAAGUGCCAUGACUUCUCUUUCUGAUUCCCACCACCCUCUUUCCCCGUCGAUCGUCGCUACACCUGCCGAUUCCGACCCCUUGUUAGCUCCUCAAACCCACAUUCUUCAUGUUGAACAACAACUUAACCCUAACGAAUUGACAAUGCCGCCUCCUCCUCCUCCUCCGCCUUUAAACUUGGAGUAUUUGAAUAUCACUGUUUCCGAUCCACUCAAGGAAAUGGAAUCAUCAUCUGCCUCAAUUGUUCCCGGCAGUAAUACUUACGUUACCUAUUUAAUCACCACAAAAACCAAUUUACCCGAUUAUGGAGGAUCCGAUUUCAGCGUGCGGAGACGCUUCAAAGACGUAGUUACUUUAUCUGACCGAUUGAGCGAAGGUUAUAGAGGAUAUUUUAUUCCUCCCAGGCCGGACAAAAGUGUGGUGGAGAGUCAAGUGAUGCAAAAGCAAGAGUUUGUGGAGCAAAGAAGGCUGGCAUUGGAGAAGUACUUGCAGAAGCUCGCAUCACAUCCACUCAUCAAGAAGAGUGAUGAAUUGAGGGUCUUUUUGCAGGUGGAUGGUAAGCUUCCCUUGCCAACCACCACUGAUGUCGCAUCUAGGGUUUUGGAUGGAGCAGUGAAGUUGCCAAAGCAGUUGUUCGGGGACUCGGGAAAUGUGAUUGGGCCCCAGGAUGUUGUUCUGCCCGCUAAAGGUGGUAAGGAUUUGCUCAGGUUGUUCAAAGAAUUGAAGCAGUCCGUUGCCAAUGAUUGGGGUGGCUCCAAGUCACCUGUCGACGAUGGCGAUAAGGAUUUCCUGCAAAAGAAAGAAAGGUUGCACAAUCUUGAGCUGCAACUAAGUAAUGCCUCAAAGCAGGCUGAAUCACUUGUUAAAGCUCAGCAAGAUAUGGGGGAGACGAUUGGAGAACUUGGGCUAGCAUUUAUUAAGUUGACAAAGUUUGAGAAUGAACGAGCUACAGUGAAUACUCAGAGAGAACAGGCUGCUGAUAUGAGAAACGUGGCAACUGCAGCUGUUAAAGCCAGCAGAUUGUAUCGGGAGUUAAAUUCACAGACAGUGAAGCAUUUGGAUAUUCUACAUGAACACCUGAGUCUAAUGUUGGGCGUACACCAUGCAUUUUCAGACCGAUCAAGUGCUUUAUUGACACUGCAGACUCUCAUUUCGGAGUUAUCUUCUUUAAAUUCAAGAGCAGAGAAACUUGAAACAGCAACCUCUAAGAUAUUUGGAGGUGAUAAAUCAAGGGUUCGAAAGUUGGAAGAGUUAAAAGAUGCCAUUAGGGUCACUGAAGAUGCCAAAAGCUGUGCCAUGAGGGAAUAUGGCCGCAUUAAGGAAAAUAAUCGAAGUGAGAUAGAUAGAAUAAAUAGAGAAAGGCAUGUUGACUUUGUGAACAUGUUGAGAGGAUUUGUAACUAGUCAGCAUAUCUCAGGUCUCCAUCAUUUCUAACACAAAAUGCCACAGAACUUGGCCCUGGAUUCCAAUUGAUGUGUAGUCCAGAGAUUCCUUCAAAAAGAACCAAAAUGCCUCUCAGGUACCUCAGUUGCUCCUCCUCAGCAUCACAGAAGAUCAAGGUGUCAUCAGCAUAUUGGUGAUGAGUAAUUUCCUGAUGACGGUGGCUUAUGCAGAGAGAAUUGGACAAGAGUGGUCGAAAGUUGCAGAGGAGACCAGUCGUUAUUCAAGAGAGAGUGCAUAAAACUUCUGUGGCAUGAUGGCUUAUUUUCUGGACAGCAUUCAUGGCCAAAUUGAGGAACUAGUUUAAUUGUAAUUCAAUGUCAGCACCGUCUCUUUCUCAGUAAAAGGGAUAGUGCACAGGGCUUCCUUGCUGCUACCCCACUUGACUGCGCCUGUUUUAACACGAUUGACGAUCUUAUAAGUAGCCUGCUGAAACAAAAGCUUGAGCACGUCGUUUCUUCAAAUAUUGAGGUUCUCCAUUCUUUUUGACCUGACAUAAUUUAUCUCCAGAGUGCAAAUUCAUAAUGGGAUGUAUACUGGCAGCCCCGGUUUAGCCCUACGCAAGAGAACAAUUACGGUUGUGCAUGGUGUUUGAGAAUAAUACAAGUAGAUUUUCCUUGCUGCUAUACUUUUGUGAUGAGCCGAGUAUUCAUAUUUUUGUAUUUUCCAGAAUCCUUCUUAAAGUCUUGAAUAAAGUAUUCUAUAAGGGUAGGGUUUUUUUUUUGA